CCCUUAGAUGUCCUGGGCCGCACGCGCGCUACAAUGACACGUUCAACAAGUACUUUCCUGGCUUGGAAAAGUUUCGGGUAAUCUUUAUAAUACGUGUCGUGCUGGGGAUUGAUCUUUGGAAUUAUAGAUCUUGAACGAGGAAUUCCUAGUAAGCAUAAGUCAUCAGCUUGUGCUGAUUACGUCCCUGCCCUUUGUACACACCGCCCGUCGCUCCUACCGAUUGGGUGAGCCGAUGAAACUCUCGGAUGUAGGCUAUUCAUAGCCCGCAGAAGAGAUUUGAAUCGUAGCGCUUAGAGGAAGGAGAAGUCGUAACA
Molecule: ribosomal RNA, 314 nt
Filed under: uncultured eukaryote
Lineage: Eukaryota
Description: partial 18S ribosomal RNA
Rfam family: Eukaryotic small subunit ribosomal RNA
Source: RNAcentral